This is a long non-coding RNA of Cyprinus carpio (common carp), 1118 nucleotides long. Lineage: Eukaryota; Metazoa; Chordata; Actinopteri; Cypriniformes; Cyprinidae. The record is from Ensembl.
GUUCAUGUCUCAAAAAAGAGUUUAACGAUUUUCCUCUUAACUGAGACCCCCAAAUCAAUUCUGAUUUGAGUCCUCAAUUCAACUAUUUAUAUAUUUCAGGUACCAUGUUCAUUUUUUUUUUUCAGUGAAUGGAAUUAUUUAUACUUUUCAGACUAAUUUCAAUCAGUAACUCAUCUUUGUGAACUUAAUGUAAAGAACCGACUCGGAGAACUGGCUUUAAGGUGACCAGAUUUCUAAAAUGAAGUCUUGUACCAAUCCCCCAAAACUUUGUAUGUGAGGUACAAUCAGUUUUAGUAACAUACAAAUUCUUACCCUUCUUCAGAGCCCACGGCAAAGGCCUAAUUCUCUUAUUAUCUUUCUCACAGGUGGUGACCUGUCCCAAUGCUUCUUUCAAUGGCCUGACCAAAAUAGUGUCCAGAAUUAGAGCCAGUGAAGCAGGCUGUCAUGGAAGACAGAGCAGCAGCUGGAGAAUUACGUGGAGAAAAUGGAUAUCAAGAUCACAAAGACAGAAAAUCCAAAAUGCUUACCUCAGAAUGUGAGACCAUCUGCACUAAAAGAAAACAGUAAGACUCAGUUAUAACCACAACACUUCUUGAGACAUUUUAUAAUGACUGUCAUUUUUCUUUCUUUCUUUCUUUCUUUCUUUUCACUAACAUAAUCUUGAGUUUUGCAAUCAAUCAAUGUUUGAAUGACUUUUGACUCACUAAAGACAGUCUUUUCGGAAGUUUGUCUGGAAGACAUGCAAAGUGAUAUAAGCAUAUAUAACCACAAAUUAGGGAAACAGUUGUAUCUGAAUCCCCACUGAGGUAGAUACAGUGAUUAUUAAAUGUUUAAUGUGUCUAUUUGGCAUGAGUGACUGGUUCUUUAUUGGCCUGAUGUCACUUCCUCAAAAAUCAUGCCUCACAUCACUUUGAAAUUUGCCCCAUGGCACAGUCUUCGGUUUUGAUUGACUUAUGAGCUGAUUAGUAUUGAGGCGCCUCUCCUUCCUUUGUCCCUUUCACCUCCAGCUAUCUUCAAGAUUAACUACCUUCUGGCAACAUAUUCAAAGUCACAGCCCAGAGCUCCACUUAAAGUCAUAAUCUAAUCAGAUACGGGACCCUGGCUAGCUCACAAAAGCC